This 550-nucleotide ribosomal RNA is filed under the name uncultured Cryptococcus. Its description in RNAcentral is "eukaryotic LSU rRNA". The stretch from base 159 to 312 matches the Rfam family "5.8S ribosomal RNA". The record is from RNAcentral. Lineage: Eukaryota; Fungi; Basidiomycota; Tremellomycetes.
UCCGUAGGUGAACCUGCGGAAGGAUCAUUAGAGAUUGGCCUCUGGCCGUGUCUAUUCCACACACACACUGUGAACUGUAUGUUUUGGGGUUCCCGGGCCCCAGGCGCAAAACACCAAAACUUUAGUGUAAUGAAUGUAAAUCGUCGAAACAAAAACAAAACUUUCAACAACGGAUCUCUUGGCUCUCGCAUCGAUGAAGAACGCAGCGAAAUGUGAUAAGUAAUGUGAAUUGCAGAAUUCAGUGAAUCAUCGAAUCUUUGAACGCACCUUGCGCCUCUUGGUAUUCCGAGAGGCAUGCCUGUUUGAGUGUCUUAUGAAAUCAAUCCCCAUGGGUUUUCCUGUUGGUGGACUUGGACUUGGGUGACUGCCGACUGGCUCGCCUCAAAGGCGUUAGUGGGACAGGAUUGCCUAUGGCCCGACGUGAUGAGUUUCGUCAGGCCUGGCUCCCUUGUGUCUGCUCAUAACCCGCCCCCCCGGGGCGAUACUUUAUGCUAGACCUCAAAUCAGGUAGGACCACCCGCUGAACUUAAGCAUAUCAAUAAGCGGAGGA